RNAcentral lists this long non-coding RNA (552 nucleotides) under Vigna radiata. Its description in RNAcentral is "long non-coding RNA (VRAD_LNC014751)". Lineage: Eukaryota; Viridiplantae; Streptophyta; Magnoliopsida; Fabales; Fabaceae. The record is from RNAcentral.
AAAGAAACCCUAGCAGUUGAGGGUAAAAGAUGCAGGUGAGAGGCUGAGAGGUAAAGGAAAGUGCUUACCGCUUGAACUGUGGUGACUGAGAACUGUGACGAGAGCCUUCGAUGAUGGAGACGAGAGAAACGUUCUCGAGGGUACGAACAGUACGCAAAUGGAGAAUUGUGGUUGAUUGAACUGCGAAUGAUAGAGAGUGAAGAAGAAGAGAGGAAAAGAGGAAGAAAGUGAAUGACAGUGUAAUAGGUCGAACGAGAUUGAGAGAGAAAUGGGAAAUGAGAGUCAGAGGGACGAACAUGAGAAGGACCGAGAGGGAAAUGGAAAAAAUGAAAAAGAGAGAUACUAUGACGGAUUUCUAAAAAUCACUCAUAAUAUAUUAAAAAUUUUAUGACAAGUGUCCAAAAUGUGUAGUAAAAGGUUUUAAACUUAUUUACAAAUUUGUCACCGCGUUUUAUAUUAUAACUGAUAUGUAAAACUAUGUCAUAAUAUGUCUUAGACUUAUUUACGAGUUUGUCACCGCGUUUCAUAUUAUGACGGAUAUAUAAAAGUACG